UACGGAGGAUUCGAGCGUUAUCCGGAUUUAUUGGGUUUAAAGGGUCCGUAGGCGGGCAAUUAAGUCAGUGGUGAAAUCCCAGAGCUCAACUCUGGAACUGCCAUUGAUACUGGUUGUCUUGAAUUUAGUUGAGGUGGGCGGAAUACGUUAUGUAGCGGUGAAAUGCAUAGAUAUAACGUAGAACACCGAUUGCGAAGGCAGCUCACUAAACUAAUAUUGACGCUGAUGGACGAAAGCGUGGGGAGCGAACAGG
Molecule: ribosomal RNA, 253 nt
Filed under: uncultured bacterium
Lineage: Bacteria
Description: partial 16S ribosomal RNA
Rfam family: Bacterial small subunit ribosomal RNA
Source: RNAcentral